RNAcentral lists this unclassified non-coding RNA (1054 nucleotides) under Hevea brasiliensis (rubber tree). The record is from RNAcentral. Lineage: Eukaryota; Viridiplantae; Streptophyta; Magnoliopsida; Malpighiales; Euphorbiaceae.
GAUUGGACUUUCAUGAUGAUAGAAAAAAAGAAGCUAUAAUGAAUUAUACAAUGACACCAUUUUGUUUGAUGAACUUAGAAGUUGAUCAGGUAUAUAGGCAUAAAAAUAAAUAGCAGCCAUCCCCACAUUCUUGUCACCAGGUUGCAAUCUAUGUACUAAUGCUUCAUUUUGAACUUCCAAAAAUGAUGCUGCAGUUUCUGAUAUCGCUCCGAUAUUAUUGUCAAUCUAUUAGAACUAUAGAUCCCUUUCAUACUUUUACCAUUCUGAAUCUGAUUCCAUUUCAGUGUUGUUGAACUUCAUGGUUGAGAAUUGCUUGUAAUUUCAGUUACCGAGCUCUGCGUUUGAUGCCAUAGGCAGAAAUCUGCCUGAUUAUUCUACCUAUACUGCAUACAUCCUCUUGUAGUUCUCACUGCAUAGCUCUUGAUCUGAUGCGACAGACAUUGGGAAAGAACGUGAAUUAGUCUCAGUUCUUCGAAUGCUCCUCAACCUUGAUUCUUCUAACCUGUGUUGAACCACACAAUAGCACAUGGAGCCAAUUGUAGUGAGCAUGAUUAUGCAGCCAACCACAGUUGCAUACACAGCAAGCCAUCUUUCCUUAGAUCCAACCACUACAUAACUAAGAGAGAUAAAGGCGACUGAGAUGAAGAGACAAGCUGCCCACAUUAGCUUAUUUAUCCAAAACAUGAGUCGUUUUUUUGCUUUCUGUUCAAUCACGACAACAGACGUCUGGACCACAACAACAGCAACUGAAAUGAACAAUGCCAUACUGUCAAACAAGAAGAAGAUUAUGAAUGCUGCUUUUCUCCCUAUCUGUGCUUCUCCAAGCGAAAAUCCAUCUGUUUUCUUUUCAACAUAUUGCCCAGGUACAGUGAAGAUAGCAGCAAAAGCAACAGUAGCAAUAAGGACAGCAACAACCGUUGCAUUAUUGAUGGCGUUGUUAAGACCACUUAUGUGGAGCUUCUUCACCUUCAUUGCAAUUUUUCGUACUUUGAAGCCAGUCUGCCGACUCUGUUGGAGCUGAGAGUGCACGUCAUGUUUUAUGUCACUGACAGUC